UCGGGGUACACGAGUGGCGAACGGGUGAGUAACACGUGGGUAAUCUGCCCUGCACAUCGGGAUAAGCCUGGGAAACUGGGUCUAAUACCGAAUAGGACCACAGACCACAUGUCCUGUGGUGGAAAGCUUUUGCGGUGUGGGAUGGGCCCGCGGCCUAUCAGCUUGUUGGUGGGGUGAUGGCCUACCAAGGCGACGACGGGUAGCCGGCCUGAGAGGGUGUCCGGCCACACUGGGACUGAGAUACGGCCCAGACUCCUACGGGAGGCAGCAGUGGGGAAUAUUGCACAAUGGGCGAAAGCCUGAUGCAGCGACGCCGCGUGGGGGAUGACGGCCUUCGGGUUGUAAACCUCUUUCACCAUCGACGAAGGUCCGGGUUUUCUCGGAUUGACGGUAGGUGGAGAAGAAGCACCGGCCAACUACGUGCCAGCAGCCGCGGUAAUACGUAGGGUGCGAGCGUUGUCCGGAAUUACUGGGCGUAAAGAGCUCGUAGGUGGUUUGUCGCGUUGUUCGUGAAAUCUCACGGCUUAACUGUGAGCGUGCGGGCGAUACGGGCAGACUUGAGUACUGCAGGGGAGACUGGAAUUCCUGGUGUAGCGGUGGAAUGCGCAGAUAUCAGGAGGAACACCGGUGGCGAAGGCGGGUCUCUGGGCAGUAACUGACGCUGAGGAGCGAAAGCGUGGGGAGCGAACAGGAUUAGAUACCCUGGUAGUCCACGCCGUAAACGGUGGGUACUAGGUGUGGGUUUCCUUCCUUGGGAUCCGUGCCGUAGCUAACGCAUUAAGUACCCCGCCUGGGGAGUACGGCCGCAAGGCUAAAACUCAAAGAAAUUGACGGGGGCCCGCACAAGCGGCGGAGCAUGUGGAUUAAUUCGAUGCAACGCGAAGAACCUUACCUGGGUUUGACAUGCACAGGACGCCGGCAGAGAUGUCGGUUCCCUUGUGGCCUGUGUGCAGGUGGUGCAUGGCUGUCGUCAGCUCGUGUCGUGAGAUGUUGGGUUAAGUCCCGCAACGAGCGCAACCCUUGUCUCAUGUUGCCAGCGGGUAAUGCCGGGGACUCGUGAGAGACUGCCGGGGUCAACUCGGAGGAAGGUGGGGAAUGACGUCAAGUCAUCAUGCCCCUUUAUGUCCAGGGCUUCACACAUGCUACAAUGGCCGGUACAAAGGGCUGCGAUGCCGCGAGGUUAAGCGAAUCCUUUUAAAGCCGGUCUCAGUUCGGAUCGGGGUCUGCAACUCGACCCCGUGAAGUCGGAGUCGCUAGUAAUCGCAGAUCAGCAACGCUGCGGUGAAUACGUUCCCGGGCCUUGUACACACCGCCCGUCACGUCAUGAAAGUCG
RNAcentral lists this ribosomal RNA (1333 nucleotides) under Mycobacterium sp. DWMJ-941A1. RNAcentral's name for it is "bacterial SSU rRNA". It matches the Rfam family "Bacterial small subunit ribosomal RNA", at positions 82 to 1413 of the family's 1533-position model. The record is from RNAcentral. Lineage: Bacteria; Bacillati; Actinomycetota; Actinomycetes; Mycobacteriales; Mycobacteriaceae.